ACGCUCGACACCUACGGGAGGCAGCAGUGGGGAAUAUUGCACAAUGGGGGAAACCCUGAUGCAGCGACGCCGCGUGAGUGAAGAAGUAUUUCGGUAUGUAAAGCUCUAUCAGCAGGGAAGAAAAUGACGGUACCUGACUAAGAAGCCCCGGCUAACUACGUGCCAGUAGCCGCGGUAAUCUGUAGCGGGCUGGCAAGGC
This 199-nucleotide ribosomal RNA is filed under the name uncultured bacterium. Its description in RNAcentral is "partial 16S ribosomal RNA". It matches the Rfam family "Bacterial small subunit ribosomal RNA", at positions 328 to 539 of the family's 1533-position model. The record is from RNAcentral.